RNAcentral lists this ribosomal RNA (422 nucleotides) under uncultured bacterium. Its description in RNAcentral is "bacterial SSU rRNA". It matches the Rfam family "Bacterial small subunit ribosomal RNA", at positions 29 to 495 of the family's 1533-position model. The record is from RNAcentral.
AGCGAACGCUGGCGGCAGGCUUAACACAUGCAAGUCGAACGGGCGUAGCAAUACGUCAGUGGCAGACGGGUGAGUAACGCGUGGGAACGUACCUUUUGGUUCGGAACAACCCAGGGAAACUUGGGCUAAUACCGGAUAAGCCCUUACGGGGAAGAUUUAUCGCCGAAAGAUCGGCCCGCGUCUGAUUAGCUAGUUGGUGAGGUAACGGCUCACCAAGGCGACGAUCAGUAGCUGGUCUGAGAGGAUGAUCAGCCACAUUGGGACUGAGACACGGCCCAAACUCCUACGGGAGGCAGCAGUGGGGAAUAUUGGACAAUGGGCGCAAGCCUGAUCCAGCCAUGCCGCGUGAGUGAUGAAGGCCCUAGGGUUGUAAAGCUCUUUUGUGCGGGAAGAUAAUGACGGUACCGCAAGAAUAAGCCCGC